UCCUUUCUCUCCUCCACCGCCUGAGAGUGAGAAAUCCCUAAAAAGAGAGUGAGAGAGUAAAACAGAUCGAGGCGGCAGCGGCGGCGGCGGCGGCUGUACCAAAUCGGAGUGGUCUGCCCGUGCAUCACCAUAGCUCCAUUGGUGGCUAGGUCUGAUUGGUGCCGUGACACGCGCUCGAGCCGCGGUUCAGGCGCCGUCCACCAGCGAGGCCGCAUCUCAGUCGAUCCCCACCAGGACCAGGCUCCCCCGUCCACAUGCGCCACCUCUUCCGAUUAGCUGCCGGCAGAUGUCGCUCCUGGCCAUCACGAAUCUAACCCCAAGGUCCAAGCUAUCUCGCUCUACUUCUCCCUUUGCAUUCUUCGCGGUGUCCAGGGUGCAGUUCAUGUACCGCUUCUCAAGCCUAUCAUCAGGCACAAAAUGUUUUUCUAGUGCAUAGUUUUGUGUGCUGAAGGUGAGAUCACUAUCCUUGAGCUUGAAUCGAAAGAUAAGUCUGUGUCAACAUAAUUGUUGUAUAAUCUUUGACGCUUCUUCAUAUUUCCCAUCCAUGGAUUCAGCAAAUUCGGCACAGAUGUAUUAAGCAAUUUUUGGGCGUCCUUGUCAAACAAAGGCAACUUGUAGUAACUGUACAGUCACUAAUUUGGAGUCGAAUAUGAUACCUACCAUACCAUUGUUAUUAGUGCAGAGUAGGAUAAUAGGAACGAUCAUGUUCAAAUUAGUAUAAUAUGAUCACGGAGGUGUAACAAUUUCUGGAUAUGUACCAUUGUACUUGUCAGUUUCCUUAUCAUCAGACGACAUAUACCAUCACUGGAUAUUUUCUCAUAACCUAUCUAUUGUAGCUAUUGAUGUGACCACAAAAUCGUAAAAACAAAACACAAAAUCUUUAAAGGAUUCUGAAUAAAUUGAGAGACAUAAAUAACUCAAAUAUGGUUCUAUUAUAACUAAUAUGUCUCAAUUGUCUUCGUAGGUCUUAUAGUCUUGUUUUUCUUCAAAAGCGGCGAUAUCAUAAAGAAGUCUCAUGCAUUACCUGAUUUGUCUACCUUUUGCAUCUCAUUCUAAUGAGAGGCAACUCAAAAGGGUGGUUGGCCGUCAAGCAUCGAGAUGUCCGGCAUGUUGCAGUUUUCACCGAUUCUGCUGUGUCGUAGAAUCAGUAGACUUUGAUUGGUCAGGGGAAGAUUCGGCUAGCUUCAGUUUUGGGAUGUGUCCGGCUGGAUGUAUUUCUUUUUUAUUUUUAUGUGUGCUUGUCUUAGCAGAGUACGUGUGUGCUGGUUGUGUCCGGCUGGUCUUUUUAUGUGUGCUUGAGCUGGCCUAAUACUUUUGGAGUAUUUUUUGUCGAGUCCAUGCUCAACACGUCUGGACUUCUUUUGGUUGCGUUGGAGAUUUGGAAGAGGGUGCACGUGAGACCAUGCUCAACACGCCUGGAGUUCUUUUGGUUGAUCUGGGUGCACGUGACAUUUUAUAUAUGGUUAAUUGUGUCUUGGUGUCUUA
Molecule: long non-coding RNA, 1485 nt
Organism: Aegilops tauschii subsp. strangulata
Lineage: Eukaryota; Viridiplantae; Streptophyta; Magnoliopsida; Poales; Poaceae
Source: RefSeq, a predicted model, not a curated record